CCUACGGGAGGCAGCAGUGAGGAAUAUUGGUCAAUGGGCGCGAGCCUGAACCAGCCAAGUAGCGUGAGGGAUGACGGCCCUAUGGAUUGUAAACCUCUUUUGUAGGGGAGUAAAACACCUUACGCGUGGCGUUUUGAGUGUACCCGAAGAAUAAGCACCGGCUAAGUCCGUGCCAGCAGCCGCGGUAAUACGGAGGAUGCGAGCGUUAUCCGGAUUUAUUGGGUUUAAAGGGGGCGUAGGCGGAAGAUCAAGGCAGCGGUAAAAUUUAGAGGCUCAACCCGGACGUGCCGUUGAAACUGGCGUGCUUGAGUGAGUGAGAAGUAGGCGGAAUGCGUGGUGUAGCGGUGAAAUGCUUAGAUAUGACGAAGAACUCCGAUUGCGAAGGCAGCAUGCCGGAGCGCAACUGACGCUGAUGCUCGAAAGUGUGGGUAUCGAACAGGAUUAGAUACCCGUGUAGUC
This 459-nucleotide ribosomal RNA is filed under the name uncultured bacterium. RNAcentral's name for it is "partial 16S ribosomal RNA". It matches the Rfam family "Bacterial small subunit ribosomal RNA", at positions 338 to 795 of the family's 1533-position model. The record is from RNAcentral.